RNAcentral lists this ribosomal RNA (463 nucleotides) under uncultured bacterium. RNAcentral describes it as "bacterial SSU rRNA". It matches the Rfam family "Bacterial small subunit ribosomal RNA", at positions 29 to 480 of the family's 1533-position model. The record is from RNAcentral.
AACGAACGCUGGCGGCGUGGCUAAGACAUGCAAGUCGAACGAACUGGUCAAUUUAUUGAGCAGUUAGUGGCGAAAGGGUGAGUAAUGGAUAGGUAACGUGCCCUGUGCUCCGGAACAGCGUCGUUCGCCUUCGGGCGAACUACCGAAAGGGACGGUAAUACCGGAUAAUAUCAUUUGUCGAUGGGCAUUUGAUCAAAGAUUUAUCGGCGCGGGAGCGGCCUAUCUCCUAUCAGCUUGUUGGUGAGGUAACGGCUCACCAAGGCGGCGACGGGUAGCGGGACUGAGAGGUUGGCCCGCCACAUCGGGACUGAGACACUGCCCGGACCUCCACGGAGGGCUGCAGUAACGAAUCUUGCGCAAUGGGCGAAAGCCUGACGCAGCGACGCCGCGUGUAGGAGGAAGUCUUUCGGGAUGUAAACUACUGUCAGGGGUAAGAAAGUCCGCUCCGGCGGAUGAUCUAACC